CGCCCACCCAACCUCUGUCACGACUGCCACAAUCUCUGUUCAGCUCCACUCACCUGUUGUCUUCUCUAGCUCACAUACAGCCUCGACCCCUCACCACCGAUCUCUUCCACCUCUUGGACCCCGGACCUCUCACCAUCCUGCACCUAUCUUUAUCAAUAAAACCACUUAAAGCUUCCUCUGCUGCCUGCUUUUGGGUCCUUUCAGGAAAAUAAACCCUUACAAAAAGAAGGUAUGUGUUGUCUCGAUCGAUUUGGUAUGAACAGGACAAGCACCAAAAGAUAUAGAAGUGCCAAACUUAAUAUAACCAAAAGUUUCUCACUAGAGCUUUAAUUGAUUCAGCUAUAAAGCAUCUCUUUACAGCCUCACAGCCGGUCUUUGCUUCUUAUGCUUCAAACAGCUUGUAAAGCAAUUAAAACAAUUUAUACAUCAUUAAUAAAGUGAAUAACUUGUGCUUAUAUCAAACCCUUUAGGGACCCUUUGAGGAAGCGGUGCACCCUCUGAUGUACAAGCCGUAGUCUAAAGAAAGCCGCCAUCGCAGCACCACCACUUUGUAUGUCACCAUUUGAUGCAAUACUCUACACAUGAGAGCUUAUAUGUAUGUGCACUUCUCUAAGAGGGCCAUUUGGAGAGCAGCAGGUCAAUACACAUUCAUAGAGAGUGCAUUUCCCUGAAUGCUUCAGCAGUCUGUAAAGCCUCAGUGCCACUUUCCACCAUAUUCUGCUUACUGCAUUAAUCCAUCGUACAAAAGCGUCAUUCUGCGCUUGUAGAGAGGACAGUCACACAAGUUUACACACACACACACACACUCAGACACACAGUGGAGGCCCACAUAGACACACAUUUUCACAGCUUCAAUGGCAGAAAAUCCAUACCCCUUUCUGGGAGGAGGAAUUCCAUUAGAUAAUAGAUAUGGAAUCCAUCUCGAUUCCCCACCUUAUCUUCUCCCGGGGUGAGGGAUCAAUACUAGGGCUUCAGCUCAACUGCCAACAAUAACAGGAAAUUGAUGGGACAGCAUGAGCAGCGCGGAGGGCCUGUAAUGGCACUUUCUUGGCCACCCCUGUAAUGCUAAUCAGAGGGGGAGUUAAUUGGUGAAAAGCUGCUUUUAGUAAUGAAGAGGAAUGGGAGCUGAUGCCUGGAGUUUAUGAACCAACACAGAUUAGGUAUGUGAUUGUUGAGGAAAUGAAUGCAGCUGUGAAAAAUCUACAAAAUUACUGUCGUACAGUAGAAGCAGAGGAGUGCAGUUAGACGGAGAAACAUCUCACACACAGAUAUCCAGUUAUCUGAACAAAUGGGUGUGCACACUGUAAUGGCUUCUAAUUUUCCACAGAGCUGCAGAGGUUUCCUGUCAGAGUUGCCAGGUGCCGUGUUUACAGAGACCGUUGCCUGGAAACACAUUCCAAACAGCGCUAGGAUAUGAGGACGAGGGAGCAGUGCUGAGGUGAGCGUGGGGUCAGGUGCUACACAGAGCUGUAUAGAUCCGGGCAUACUGAUAACGCUCGCCGAGGGACCUGGGUGGUUCCUUUUCUUUUUUUUUUCUUACACAAUGAUGAGUCAUGUCAUGUUUGUGUUACAGUGGGUCAGUGACAUGUGGGUGUGCGGUGGUUUGGAGGUUUACAGCUUUGCUGGUCAUCGAGGUCCAGAGUCCGUUCUGGCUGAGAUGUUUGCACAGCUAAAACACCACUUAUUGCGCCAUAUCACAGAGGGGUGUCAACAGCAGAGCUGGAGCAUGGAGAGCAUGAGUGACUGCUGGAAAACUGCAGAUAUUUCAUCCAGUAUCCAAAUGCACUGAACAUUUUAGCUUUGUUUUGGCACAGCUAAGAUUUAGACCUGGUUUAAAGAUUUAACACUUCACCUCGAUGGAUCAGAAAGUCUCUACUUUCUUGAUUUUCUCCUGAUUUGCAUUUCUUCAUGUUUUUAACAGUCCUUUACUUUAAAACACAAAAGUUUCUAGUCCCCUUUCUUUUCUUAAGUAGUGCUGUGUGAAGUUACAGAAAGACCCAGGAGCCAGGCAGAGAACUUGCUCAGAAGUCAGGUCAUAAACUGCUGCGGUUAACUAUCCCACAUAAAUGAAACCUCUGAACCAGAGCACAAGCACUAUUUUCACAUGUGACAAAGUGCCACUUCACCUGCAGCACACUCAUUAGUUGUAGCAGUCAACGAAUGAAUCCCAUUUCAAAAACACUGAAUUAUCCUUUUAACACAGAAAAGUUAACGUAAAUCAUCUUAAAGUAUCCUUUACUGUUUAUAUGAUAUGUCAGCAAACACCUGAUUCUUGAUUUGGCCAUUCUAUCUUGAUGUGUUUUUAUUUACUCACCUCAUUUAACAGCCAUCAUUUCAACUCAGCUCAUCUUAACUCAACUCUAUCAAGUUAAUUACUUAAGAGCACAGUGUGUAGAAAUGGAGAUUUCAAGCUGUUAGAUUUCAGAUGAAAAAUACUCCAGUACUCACCUCUCCUGUUUGUGAGGCGACAGUUGCCUUCGAGGACAAGAAGCUGCUGCGUCAAAUGUGAUCCUUCAUCAGUACAAAUUCUUCUUCUUCUAACUAAUACAAAUUACUAUCACUAGUUUGUUUGUUCUGUGCUAUUAAAGAAACAUUGUAGUGCAAGAUAAAAAAGUAAAUGUCAGUGAAAAGGACAAAUUUUUGUGUUUUUUUAGAGAACUGUUGAUGCAUUGUUUUUUUAUUGGACGCACUUUGUAAGCUGUACAAACAGCUGGUUUCAUUACCAUCGGUGUCUUUGUUUUGUUUUGAUGCCUCCGAGCAUCAUCAUUGAACAAAAUAAGUUCUUGGUGCAGUUUCACUUCCUCACAAAAAAGUAAAACUUGUUUGUGGAAAAAAACAUUUAUUAACCUUCCAUUGGAAAAAAAAAAGCUAUAAAAAUAAAUUUAUGAUUCUCAGUACGUCAGUGUUUUGCCUCCAGCCAGUGAUCAUCACCAACACAUGAUCUUGGUGCCAUUUCACCCACUUGAUCAAUAAAUGAACAACAUUCAAAAGUUAAUUCUCUAAUUUGGUUAUUACAAGCAAACUUUGUCUUAAAAAUUGGGGAAUAAAGUUAUCAUCAUCAUCAUCAUCAUCAUCAUUACUUCACUGUUUUGCUUACAGCCACUGAGCAUCACCGCUGACGCCACAUAAGGUCUUGUAGCUGUUUCACUCACGCUAUUUCUUUCAUCGCUGGGAUUAAAAACUGGCACCUCUUUCAUCACAAGCUCCAGCAUCUACACCCAGAGCCUUUGUAACAGUCACUCAUAGUAACUGUGAGUGAGACGCCGCUGAGCAGCAUCUGGAUGAGAUUGUCAUGGAUGUGCUUGGUCUCAUUCCAUAACUAAUCCUGUUCUGUGAUCUCUGCCCAGCACACAUAACCCCCCAACCCUCCUACCCCUCAAAAAUACUGACCUGAACAAACCAGCAGGUGGUGCUGUCCUCUGUGGUAUCAGCAUGUUUUGAAUGGUUAAAAUAUUUUGGCAUUGCCUAUGAAAGCUAUCAAGGAUUUCUAACAGUGUUGUCAGCGUGCAGAUGUAAAAGUAAAUGUAGACAUAAUGCAGCUCUGUGUGUGAUUCUGUGCUGCUCUGCUAUCAGCGCAGAUGAAGUCGAUGAAGAGAUGAGGCCUUUUUGGAUCAUCGAGAUACUCGUGAUUACAAGUUGAG
Molecule: non-coding RNA, 3641 nt
Organism: Xyrichtys novacula (pearly razorfish)
Lineage: Eukaryota; Metazoa; Chordata; Actinopteri; Labriformes; Labridae
Source: the annotation of a GenBank genome assembly